CAAAAUAUAUAAAAUAUUUAUUAAUGUCGCAAAAAUAAGUAUUAGAAUAUUGAUUAUUCAAACAGUUGACAAGAAUAAUAUUAUUAAAAACAACAAAAGUUGAUGUUAAUCACUGAAUUUCAGGUAGCACGUGUCACGCAGAAUCGCUACAAUCAUGCAAGAUUAUAUUAUUACAUAAUUUCACUAGUAAAGUUGGCAAGCUUUUUUUUUUUUUUUUUUUUUCCAUCUAUUUGAUUUUAUUGAUGGGCCAAACCCAGAAAAUCCGAUACAAAAGAGCAUAAAGCCCGACAAAAGCGAGACGAAACAAGUCCAAGGCCCAAGCCCAUCAACUGAACGGUGCCACUACUGUACACGCGUCCAGCCAAACUCUAACCCACCCACGUGUUGAGACCCCCCGUCUCACGGAGACACACGUCAGCCGAUCACCACAUCAGUGCUCCAAACGCCAAGGUAAGCCGGAGAAGAUGAAGAGCGGCCAGUAGUUUCGUCGGAACACACCUGAUCAAAACACUGUACCCAUCUUCAUCACCGAACAAUUUCAAAGGAGAGAUCGAUCGAGGACAAUCCCGAGAUCUCAUCCAAAGCCACCAUGGAACACCUUUGACGGUUUAACACCACAC
This 620-nucleotide long non-coding RNA is filed under the name Brassica rapa (field mustard). RNAcentral's name for it is "long non-coding RNA (BRAP_LNC005562)". Lineage: Eukaryota; Viridiplantae; Streptophyta; Magnoliopsida; Brassicales; Brassicaceae. The record is from RNAcentral.